RNAcentral lists this ribosomal RNA (615 nucleotides) under Levilactobacillus brevis. Its description in RNAcentral is "bacterial SSU rRNA". It matches the Rfam family "Bacterial small subunit ribosomal RNA", at positions 51 to 631 of the family's 1533-position model. Lineage: Bacteria; Bacillati; Bacillota; Bacilli; Lactobacillales; Lactobacillaceae. The record is from RNAcentral.
AUACAUGCAAGUCGAAUGAGCUUCCGUUGAAUGACGUGCUUGCACUGAUUUCAACAAUGAAGCGAGUGGCGAACUGGUGAGUAACACGUGGGAAAUCUGCCCAGAAGCAGGGGAUAACACUUGGAAACAGGUGCUAAUACCGUAUAACAACAAAAUCCGCAUGGAUUUUGUUUGAAAGGUGGCUUCGGCUAUCACUUCUGGAUGAUCCCGCGGCGUAUUAGUUAGUUGGUGAGGUAAAGGCCCACCAAGACGAUGAUACGUAGCCGACCUGAGAGGGUAAUCGGCCACAUUGGGACUGAGACACGGCCCAAACUCCUACGGGAGGCAGCAGUAGGGAAUCUUCCACAAUGGACGAAAGUCUGAUGGAGCAAUGCCGCGUGAGUGAAGAAGGGUUUCGGCUCGUAAAACUCUGUUGUUAAAGAAGAACACCUUUGAGAGUAACUGUUCAAGGGUUGACGGUAUUUAACCAGAAAGCCACGGCUAACUACGUGCCAGCAGCCGCGGUAAUACGUAGGUGGCAAGCGUUGUCCGGAUUUAUUGGGCGUAAAGCGAGCGCAGGCGGUUUUUUAAGUCUGAUGUGAAAGCCUUCGGCUUAACCGGAGAAGUGCAUCGGAA